AAAGACGGAAGGCAUCAGCCAGCACCACCUUUACAUACAGGGAAAGAGACCAGUGGCAGACACAGAAAACUUACUGAAGAAAUUUCUGUAUCUAAAUCAAUCUUUCCAAAUUGAUAACGUGAGCUGUCGGUGUCACUCUGGUUCAAUGUGUCUAUGCCGUGUCUGAGGGCCGCUCUGUGGCAAUGACUUUCAGGCCCAUCUCUAACCAUAUAAGGGAUAACCGGAUCCUCCUCCUCCACUCCCCGCAAGUGUCACUCACUGAUCCGGCCGCAGCCCAGCUCUGGUCGGGUUGGUUUAGCCAGCUACAGCCACCUCCCGGUGGGCGUCACUCGGCCAAGUUCUCUUACUUUCGAGCUCCGGCAGGUCUCCUCGUUCACCGCCGCCGUCCGCACUUCAAUCGGACCCGGACUCUGCUCCACGACCGGGAAACACUGAAGCCGCCAACAGGGUACUUUCACUGGAUCUUCCGCUGUCCGUCCGUGACGAGGUCUCUCUAUUUCUUAGCAGACGCGUUACUCUCACCGCGCAGCUACGGUCCCGAUCUCCUUCUCCUCAGCCCACCAACGGUUCUCUCCUUUUAUAACUUCCCCUCUAGAGCCCCGGAUCAGUCCCGCCAAAGGUCCCCUGCACGAGCUGGUUGUCCCACACAUAGCCUCGUGCCAGCAACCCCCUCCUUGGUAAGCAGUGUGUCAGUCUAAUAGACCCAAGUUCAUGCUGACAGUACCAAUA
Molecule: long non-coding RNA, 729 nt
Organism: Pseudophryne corroboree (corroboree frog)
Lineage: Eukaryota; Metazoa; Chordata; Amphibia; Anura; Myobatrachidae
Exons: 3
Source: RefSeq, a predicted model, not a curated record